This 330-nucleotide unclassified non-coding RNA is filed under the name uncultured Stephanospora. Its description in RNAcentral is "sequence contains 5.8S rRNA gene". Lineage: Eukaryota; Fungi; Basidiomycota; Agaricomycetes; Agaricales; Stephanosporaceae. The record is from RNAcentral.
GAACGCACCUUGCACCCUGUGGCAUUCCACAGGGUAUGCCCGUUUGAGUAUCAUUAAAUCAUCAACUCCAAAACCUUUGUGUUCUUGGUGCUUGGUCUUGAGGGUUAUUGUGGGCUCUUUGUCAGUCUGCUCCCUUUAAAUCUAUUAGCGAGACUUCCCUCUGCCGGAACUUGUGUCUUGACGUGAUAGUCUAUCUGCGUCAAAUUUUAGAGUUCUCAUUGGGCUUGCUUCUAAUCGUCCUGUUUGGACACUCGGAAUUGAGUGCAUUUUUGACACCCUUUUCUAAACCUAUUUUGAUCUCAAAUCGGGUAGGACUACCCGCUGAACUUA